AGGGAUUCUCAGGAGCCAUAGCAGAUUGCUUCUCUCAACAGUGUAAUUACUUGUGUCUCCAACUAAAGUGUGAGGUCAGAGACUGUCACUUUGUAUGCCCAGCACCCUAAAAAGUGCGGGAGACAUAGUGGUUGCUCAGUAAGCAUUUGCUGGAUGAAUGGAUUGACUCCAAUCCAUUCAUUUAUUCUCAGCAGUUAGUCAUCUGUUCAUUAGUUCCAGACCCAUGGUGGAAAUAACAGACAAACCAGACCUUAUUGAUCAACCCUGUGAUGAGAAAGACAGACCAUCUGACAGAGUGUUCACUGUUGUGAUAUCUGAGAGAACAGAGGCAUAUUCCCUGUGUAUCCUAAAUCCUUCUUACUGCACACUAAACCAGUUGUCUUACUCAGAAAGAGCAGGAAGUAAAUGGCUUCACCAGGCCCCUGCCCUCAGCACAGAUGGAGUUUUGAUUUCUCUUGGCAUGGGAUGUGGAGACUUCUUGAAAGCCAGGUAGCAGUAAGCACUCUGAAGAUCAAGUAGAACAGCCUGGAAGAGGGACAGACGGGAAGAAGCUACUUCAGGUCAGGGGAGACAUCUCCACAAAGGUGAUAUUUUGAGCAGAGGCCUGAAUCAGUAAAGCAGGAACCUGGUAAGUUUAAUGUGGAAGAGACUUUAGGCAGAAGGAAGUACAAAGACCCCAGUGGGAACACUCCUGACACUUCUGAGGACUGGCAAGGCAGAUGGCAUGAAAGUGGGAGGAGACAGGGUCAGAGCAGACACGAAAACGGGGUGACUGACACCCUUAAAGGGUCAAAGGUCAUGGAAAAACUUUGGAACUUGGUCAGAGCUUUCUAGGAGGAGCCAAUCUGAGACCCAUUCAAAACAACAGGUGCUGAGUGUCUGCCUUGGGCCAGGCCCAGUGCUGGGCAUGUGGGACCCAGGCUACAGAGGUGUCCUCUUGCCUCAGGGAAUUAUCAGAAGCAGAUUUAAAAAAAUCAAUGGCAGUACAAUGGAUGAGAGCCAUCUGGGGAUCAGCCAGGGAGCAACAGGUGCAGGUGCCCAGAUGGAGGUGCAUUAAGUGUCCCUGGGGAGCCCAUACUGCACUUCACUGGGCUGAAAUGCCAAAGGUGAGUUGGUACUUGUCACAUGGGCAGUGGAAUAGUAGACAGUUGUGUGCAGGCCCCAUGCUCUGAUGAAGGAUAGGAAUUGUUGGAAAGGUCAGACCUAGGCCUGGAGAGUCUUGUGUCAUGAACAUCCAGAGCGGGCAGGGUCACCUGGUGAUGGGAGAAUUUACUGCUAUGCUCAAUCUUGGGGUACUCCUCCUUUUAUGGGUAAGAGGGUUGUUUCAUUUGGUGGCCUGGAAUGUUCGAUAAGCUCCUGGGUCUGGUUUUUCCAGUAUGAGUUUGAUAUACCCAUGCAUCCAUGUGCUUCUGAUUAAUUUGAUAAGUUCACAGGAAGUCAUUUUUGUAAGCAUGAUUAAUGAAGCCACUAUCACAAUCAAGGCACUGAACACAUUCAUACAGGCCACUGAUUACAUAUUUUACAGAUUUAUUUAUUCAUGGCAUUGAACCCAAGGUCACUCCACCACUGAGCUAUACUCUAGCCCUUUUAUUUUUUGUGUGUGUUUUUACAGAUUUAUUGAGGUAUAAUUGACAUACAAGAAAUACUGUCUAAGCCAGGUGUGAUG
RNAcentral lists this long non-coding RNA (1666 nucleotides) under Marmota monax (woodchuck). The record is from RNAcentral. Lineage: Eukaryota; Metazoa; Chordata; Mammalia; Rodentia; Sciuridae.